AGGAAGAUGGAGAACAAGCAUCCUGGACACAAAGCCUAACUUUAGCUUUUUUUGUCACCAUAGGAGGAGGGAUCAGCCCUCAUGUCUGGCUUUCAUGUAAGGUACCCCAUCUACCAGAGCUAAGGGUAAAGCUGUGCCAGCAUUCAGGAAGGAAUUAAAAAUUCUCAGGAUGACAAUUGCUGUCUUGUGCUGUCAAACCAUGGUUCAAGAACUCAUUGAGGGUGUGAAAAAUUCGGAUUCUGGUCUAACCUCCACCAGUGGAUAGGGUGUUUUCAUAGAAUCAAAGAAUCAUUGAAUGGUUUGGGUUGGAAGGGGGCUUAAAAAUGGGGAGUUGCAUUUAACAAGGUUAAUGCAUAAUAGGCCAAGGAGGGGACAGUUUUCAGGGUUCUCCUUUUCUGUCUGCCUAACUAGAGGAAGCAACUACACAAAAGCAGUUUCCUGGGCUUGGCAGUUCCUGAGGGGUUUUUUUUCUGAAGAACAGAAUCAUGUUAGUGGAAAACAGAGAGCACACAGAGCAAGUCACAGGGCCUGGAGCAUCCCUCAAACAGGGAAAACUCUAAUCCAGGUCUUCCACCCACUCAGGCAUUGUGCUAACACUCCAUUUCUGUGUGAAAGUGUCCCAGCUGGCACAGUGAGGAUGGUCCUUCCAGUCUGCCACUGACCCUCAGCCUCUUGACAAGUGUUUAACAGAGCACUGAAAUGCAAAUCCUCUGCGAGGCCACUGCCCACCUCAGUGGCAGUGCUUGUUACAGCUAUAAAAUGGGAUUGGGGCCAAAGUGUGAUGUGAUCUGGCAAGUGUAGCCUGCAGGAGAGUGCCCUGUGGAGCGCUGGGUUCCAGAAGCAGAUCCUGGCCUUUCCUACAGGACACUUUAUGAGAGCACAUCCCCAGAUUUAUGCAAGCCUGGCUUUGAACAUUUCCUUAAGGUUUGCUUUCUGUUUUUAGAAAUAAAACCAAGAUUAAGUCAGUCAGAGGUGACAAAGGUCUGUUUCACACCUUGCACAUGGAUUUGGGUAGAAUCUCAGUUUGGAAAGCAAACGGGUCACUUUAGCUUUCCUAAGAAAGUUGCUGUGACUCAGACUGCUGCCUUCUGGACAAUUAUGACCUAAAUGUGACUAAAAUGCUCCUAAUCUUGGCAGUGGCCUGUGUAAAACUGUAAAAAAGACACUGGUAAAAUGCCCAUUUACCUACUGUGGUCACCAGCUGACAUCAGUCCUCCUAGUGAUGUCAUGAUCAAAUAUUUCCUGGUGUUCAAGAGAAUAAAUACCCAGCAAGGUCUAAAAGCCCCUGUCAUGGUUUAGGCCUGAAGAAUAUUUUCACAGCACCAAGGUUAGAAAUAGUAAAAUAAUGAUUCAUUUCUGCUCUUUUGGCAGCCUGAUGCUCUUCCAGCUGAGCUCUGAUUCUCAAUGUAUGAUUUUAUUCCCAUCAGCAAAGGGCAUGACAUCUUAUUUCAGUCCCUGGGGAAGUGCUCAGGAGAAAAAUAUGGCUCGUUUUAACUGUUUGGGAAACACCACCAUAGUUCCUAACAGGAAAAGGAAAAGGCAGGCUUAAAGUUCUGAGAAUUCUCUACAUUUUGGAUUCCAGCAGUGCUGACCAUGGGGUUUUUUAUGGAGCUGAUGCGGAGCACAGCUGGAUCUUGUUUAGUCACGUAAGAGAGUGCAUAGGAAGGGACAUGAGGGAGAUUUGGAGUCUUCUCUCCCUCACUGGAAUGGUUGUUGUGAUAUUCUGAGCACCACAAUUGAUGGAGUGCCAGUGCACGUUCCAAUAAACCUCAACACUCUUUGCCAAAUGCAAAGCCUGAUCCUUAAUACUCAAAAUAUUCCUGCUUGUAGGGACCCAACAGCAUCUCCACAAGGUGGCCACUGUCUUACAGAAGUCUGGAAUUGCAGCCUGUUUCUCUUCCCUGGCUACAUUAGAAAAGAAUUGGCACUCUGCAAAAGCCUCCUGCAGGAAAACACAAACAUCGUGAGUUACGCUGAGCUGCUUUUCUCCCAGUGACCUACAAAGAAAAAAAAUGCUUUUCUAUGUAGAAUAUUUAUUUGUUUUUCUAUGUUGAAUAACAACAGAAGAUAGCAAAUAUUUUGCCCGUUUUCAGAAAAAAGAAAUCAUCAUUUUGUGUAACUUCCAUUUUUAGGUUCAAGCAUGGACAUGAUUGACACGUGUUGAAUUAAUGUACUGCCAGAUUUUCAGUGGUAAAGAAGCAGUAAAAUAGAAAUUAUAGUCUGCUGGUUUUAAACAUGUGCUUUUGUUACCAAAAAAAAAAUAGUUUCAAUUUCAUUAUAAAGCAAAUAUUUGUAUAUUUGAGACUUGAAGCUGAAUGGAAAUCGGAUUAGUCCUGGUUUGGCCAGAAGUUACCUGUAACUUUUUCCUGAUGUAAAAGGUUUUCCUCUUUCCUCUUGGCAACAUUCAGAAUACUGCAGGCCUACCAUUUAUGGCAAAGACUUGUGUUUAUUGCUCAGGAUUAAGAACACACUGCAGAUAAAUGCACACAAUUCUUUUAAUUCUAAUAAUACACUUGAAUGAGAACCAGGAAUUGUGUUGGCCUUAAAGUCCAUUUUGAGAGUUUCCAAGAAUUCUUAAUUAGACCUUUAAAAUAUCCCAUAAAAUGUCUCCUUCUUCACAUCAUUCUUUUAUUGUCAAGAAAUAAAGUUGGCAGAUCUCAAGAAAUCUGAAAAUUUUUAUUUACAGGUUUUUCAAAAUUAAUUUUUAAUUACAAAAAAACCUCAAUCCCUUAACAUUCUUCUCUUAUCUCAAAAGCAAUCAAAAGGAACAAACUAAUGGAGUAACUUCAGAGCAUUUAUUACUCACUGGGAGAUACUGUACCAGACAGUCCAUGGCACCUAAAAUAAUUAUCAAGCGUUUAUUAUAUUAUUACUGCCACUUGCCCUGGCAGAGAAAUCACAUGACUUAAGAAGAAACUCUGGAGUAAGACAGAAAAUGUUGGAUAAUAACAGGUUGAAGUCUUGUUCCCAUCAGGUCAAAGACAAGAAUUCUUGCUGAUUUCAGUAGUCUUGGUGGGACUUAAAUAUUUUGCCAGAGUCCCUCUGCCUGAUAGAGCUUUGGGUUUAUUUUUAAUCAAACUGUGGUAUCAGAAAUUAGAUCAAGGAGCUGAUAAGUUCUCUUGCUGAUACUCCCAUCUCCAUUCCCCACAGCAGGUGCUUGCCUGGGCAGAGUGGGUCACUUUAGGAGUCUUUUCUAAGAAAAUUCUCCUUUUUUCUUUGUCACAGCCUUCCCCAGAAGUGGCACUGUCCUGAGCUGCAGCUUCAGCUCCACGGCAUUUCAGCCAGGAGAUACUGGGGCCGAGGAUUGCUCACCUUAUACUUCAGUAACACAGAUGCAGAGACCAGUGAUUUUUGAUAAAUACUACACAGGGAGCAGCUAGACAUGAAUAUCUUUAUUUAAAUUCAAUGUAGCUGCUGCUUGUUCCUUGGUGGAAACAGCUCUUUCUCUAACAGCAGCGCUUAGGGGUUCACCAAAACCAGAAAAAAACCCCAAGAAACAACUCAGAGGAGGGGAAAAGUCACCACCAUGAGUUCUAAAUAGCUGUAGUGUAACAUCUAGAUGUUUGAGUGUGUACGGAAAUUUGAGUUUAUCUUUCCAAGGCGUUUUCCUUACCACAAGAUGUCACUGUUUUUUGUUUCUUUCCUCCCAUCUGACACUGUCCACAGUCCUCUUGAGUUCCACAAUGCUCUCUAAAGGGAAAACGAUCAGAUCUCACAAAGGCGAAUAUUUCGUGUUAUUUUCACCAUUUGCUGUCUUUAUGCUAGAUUUGAAAAACCUGCUGUUUUGUGGCUUUCAGUGUUUAUUUACUGCCUAUGUUCUUUUCCUUUCAGACUGUAAAAUGUUUCACAGCCCACCACUUCACUUUUGAAUUUUCAUUCUCAAGCCAGCUUAGGCUUACUUUGGGUCCACUAAAUAAGAAAAAUGUUUUAGAUGUGAGACUAAUCCAGAUAUUCUGCUAAAUCUGGAGGGCUCUGUCAAGAUUUGAAGGGUUUGAGUUCUAAAUUCCUGAUGAAAUCAGGCACAUAAGUUUCUAGACAGCAUUUAACAUGCUUCUACUACAAUAAAGCUUAUUUUAGACUGGACAUCAGGAUAAGGUUUUAUUGCAUAAAAUUAUAAAUAUGACAGUGUUGAGUAGGUAAAUGUUCUCAUAACAGACUUGUACUGUCUUCAAA
Passer domesticus (house sparrow) is the source of this 4173-nucleotide long non-coding RNA. RefSeq lists it as uncharacterized. The record is from RefSeq and is a predicted model, not a curated record. The transcript has 3 exons. Lineage: Eukaryota; Metazoa; Chordata; Aves; Passeriformes; Passeridae.